Molecule: non-coding RNA, 109 nt
Filed under: Percolomonas cosmopolitus
Lineage: Eukaryota; Heterolobosea; Eutetramitea; Percolomonadida; Percolomonadidae
Source: RNAcentral
UCGCUCAUCUCUUGCUCGAAUCCUGCCUCGCCUUUCUCUUCCUUUUGUAUUUUUGAAAGCGUUUUCAUUAUUAAAACCACCACUCCUUUCACCAAAAAUCCAAACCACC